CACACACCCAACAUUCUUCUUGAUGGAUUCCAAACAAUAGCUUCCAGGGAAACCAUUGCUAGGAGUUCAGGAAAAGUAAAGGUCCUGCCAAUUCCAGAAGGACAAAGGGUUUCAGCCACUAACAAGGGAACAAAAUGAUCUCAUUGCCCCUUUCCCACUGAGACUGUAAGUGGGAUCCUUCUCAAAUUCAGAGCGCUCACUUACAGGCACAGUCACUGUUUCCACACAAUGGGACCCAUGUGGAAGGACAGCCAAACCAGGAAACAGAUUCCAGAGGCGUGGGCCAGGACUGAACAUGGACUCUCCAAUGACAGGCAUGCAUCUCUGGGGCACCAGACUGUGCUCAACUGUAAUUCCUUGUGACUCCCGCAUGCCUCCAAGAACACAGGGCCGAACAACCCAACUGCCUCUGCAAACCCAGGGUUUCUCCAGGACCUACUUGGAAAGCAUGCGACUUGGGAACGCACAGGUGUUCAUUCCUUGGUGUCUGCCAGGCACCCGCCUUAUAGCUCUCCAGAAAACCAGACGGCAUCGGGAUGUGUGUCCCGUCUGAAGCCUUUGGCGUUAAUUUCUAAAGCACGGUCGUGAACAUCAACAUCAAAACACAGCUCCUGUGUAAUAUUAAACACUUUUAGAAACAAAAAUUGACUGUCUUGCUAUUCUAACUUUCCCCAGUCGGUAGUUUUAACUCUCAACAUGGACUCCACAGGCCAACCCCAGCGUCACCAUUCUGUUAGAGGCACUUCAAAUAAAUUUUUAACAGCAUGUUGCUAUCUCCCCUGGCACAUUUCAUAGAUGAGGUCAAGUCUCAGGUAA
Long non-coding RNA from Acinonyx jubatus (cheetah), 816 nucleotides. RefSeq lists it as uncharacterized. NCBI's taxonomy places the organism in Eukaryota, Metazoa, Chordata, Mammalia, Carnivora, Felidae. The record is from RefSeq and is a predicted model, not a curated record. The transcript has 4 exons.